AGAGUUUGAUCAUGGCUCAGAUUGAACGCUGGCGGCAGGCCUAACACAUGCAAGUCGAACGGUAACAGGAAGAAGCUUGCUUCUUUGCUGACGAGUGGCGGACGGGUGAGUAAUGUCUGGGAAACUGCCUGAUGGAGGGGGAUAACUACUGGAAACGGUAGCUAAUACCGCAUAACGUCGCAAGACCAAAGAGGGGGACCUUCGGGCCUCUUGCCAUCGGAUGUGCCCAGAUGGGAUUAGCUAGUAGGUGGGGUAACGGCUCACCUAGGCGACGAUCCCUAGCUGGUCUGAGAGGAUGACCAGCCACACUGGAACUGAGACACGGUCCAAACUCCUACGGGAGGCAGCAGUGGGGAAUAUUGCACAAUGGGCGCAAGCCUGAUGCAGCCAUGCCGCGUGUAUGAAGAAGGCCUUCGGGUUGUAAAGUACUUUCAGCGGGGAGGAAGGGAGUAAAGUUAAUACCUUUGCUCAUUGACGUUACCCGCAGAAGAAGCACCGGCUAACUCCGUGCCAGCAGCCGCGGUAAUACGGAGGGUGCAAGCGUUAAUCGGAAUUGCUGGGCGUAAAGCGCACGCAGGCGGUUUGUUAAGUCAGAUGUGAAAUCCCCGGGCUCAACCUGGGAACUGCAUCUGAUACUGGCAAGCUUGAGUCUCGUAGAGGGGGGUAGAAUUCCAGGUGUAGCGGUGAAAUGCGUAGAGAUCUGGAGGAAUACCGGUGGCGAAGGCGGCCCCCUGGACGAAGACUGACGCUCAGGUGCGAAAGCGUGGGGAGCAAACAGGAUUAGAUACCCUGGUAGUCCACGCCGUAAACGAUGUCGACUUGGAGGUUGUGCCCUUGAGGCGUGGCUUCCGGAGCUAACGCGUUAAGUCGACCGCCUGGGGAGUACGGCCGCAAGGUUAAAACUCAAAUGAAUUGACGGGGGCCCGCACAAGCGGUGGAGCAUGUGGUUUAAUCCGAUGCAACGCGAAGAACCUUACCUGGUCUUGACAUCCACGGAAGUUUUCAGAGAUGAGAAUGUGCCUUCGGGAACCGUGAGACAGGUGCUGCAUGGCUGUCGUCAGCUCGUGUUGUGAAAUGUUGGGUUAAGUCCCGCAACGAGCGCAACCCUUAUCCUUUGUUGCCAGCGGUCCGGCCGGGAACUCAAAGGAGACUGCCAGUGAUAAACUGGAGGAAGGUGGGGAUGACGUCAAGUCAUCAUGACCCUUACGACCAGGGCUACACACGUGCUACAAUGGCGCAUACAAAGAGAAGCGACCUCGCGAGAGCAAGCGGACCUCAUAAAGUGCGUCGUAGUCCGGAUUGGAGUCUGCAACUCGACUCCAUGAAGUCGGAAUCGCUAGUAAUCGUGGAUCAGAAUGCCACGGUGAAUACGUUCCCGGGCCUUGUACACACCGCCCGUCACACCAUGGGAGUGGGUUGCAAAAGAAGUAGGUAGCUUAACCUUCGGGAGGGCGCUUACCACUUUGUGAUUCAUGACUGGGGUGAAGUCGAAACAAGGUAACCGUAGGGGAACCUGCGGUUG
This 1522-nucleotide ribosomal RNA is filed under the name metagenome. Its description in RNAcentral is "bacterial SSU rRNA". It matches the Rfam family "Bacterial small subunit ribosomal RNA". The record is from RNAcentral.